This is a long non-coding RNA of Gasterosteus aculeatus aculeatus (three-spined stickleback), 930 nucleotides long. NCBI's taxonomy places the organism in Eukaryota, Metazoa, Chordata, Actinopteri, Perciformes, Gasterosteidae. The record is from Ensembl.
AGCAGUUAAGCAGAUGCAGAGCGGAGUGUGCGGGUUGGGAUGUCCUGGAUGUAGACUGGACCCGAUCCAUUCAGAUCAUUCUUGGAACAUCUUCUUCAAGGUCAUUCAUUGCUGAUGCAGGCGACUGGGAUGACAAUAAAUCUGCAUCACAAUACCUGGAACCUGAAAUCAGAUCCGCUAAAUGGAAUUCACCCAUCAUUCACUUCAUCUUAUGGAGAGUGUUCCAGUGUCACACAAAUACACGGUACGUCAGUCACCACACAAGAGAAGUUGGCCGACCUGCAGGUACCGCAUCAAAACGGUGUCAAAAAGAACAUGAUGGAACCCAUAACGAGAUGUUCAUGUAGUGUAAACGGCAUACAACGAGCUGCACCAUAGAAACAGAAGAACAAGUUACUGCUGUUCCCCUUUAACCUUCUGAACCAGCAGCCGUAACAGCAUUUCAAUCUCUGGAUUAAUUAAUAAAAUGACUAGGAGGACAGCAGGCAUGAAAGUCAUGUAUUUGAAGCACCUGAGGUAAAUUAAUUUAUAUAUAACCAACCUGAAGGGCCGGUUGCGUUAAGGAGCACUACAGUUGCAUGAGAUGAAGAAUCUUUCUCAAAGAAGAAUUAUCAUUCUCCUCGGAUGCAGCUUUGGUCAGUUGUAUUAUUGUGAAAAUGAAGAAUAUGAUGGGAAUUAAGAAACAGACAAACACUAUUAUUAUAAAGCUUGUAUCUUUUAUAGUGGUGUGUGUGUGUGUGUGUGUUUAGGAAACCACAAUAAGAGUAGAUUUUAAAAGUAAAAUACAACUUAAUAUAAUGACAAAUAUGAACCAAGAGUAAUAUUGCAGCUCUCCUUUUAAUGUGUUGGUUUAUUUAUGACAUUGUUCAUAGUUUAUGACGUUAGAGGGUUGUUAAACUUGUUAAAUCCAUCAAGCAUCUUUCUCAUGAG